UACGAAGGGGGCUAGCGUUGUUCGGAAUCACUGGGCGUAAAGGGCGCGUAGGCGGCCGAUCAAGUCGGGGGUGAAAGCCUGUGGCUCAACCACAGAAUUGCCUUCGAUACUGUUUGGCUUGAGACCGGAAGAGGUAAGUGGAACUGCGAGUGUAGAGGUGAAAUUCGUAGAUAUUCGCAAGAACACCAGUGGCGAAGGCGGCUUACUGGUCCGGUUCUGACGCUGAGGCGCGAAAGCUAGGGGAGCAAACGGG
RNAcentral lists this ribosomal RNA (253 nucleotides) under uncultured bacterium. RNAcentral's name for it is "partial 16S ribosomal RNA". It matches the Rfam family "Bacterial small subunit ribosomal RNA", at positions 524 to 776 of the family's 1533-position model. The record is from RNAcentral.